Non-coding RNA from Microtus oregoni (creeping vole), 477 nucleotides. The record is from the annotation of a RefSeq genome assembly. Lineage: Eukaryota; Metazoa; Chordata; Mammalia; Rodentia; Cricetidae.
GUGAUCAGCACUGAGCAAAGAUCACUUACCAUGGACUUGUGGCUUAUUUGGCUUUUCCUUGCUGUUAUUUUAAGUGGUGUCCAGUGUGAGGUGCAGCUGGUGGAGUCUGGAGGAAGAUUAGUGCAGCGUGGAAAGUCUCUGAAACUCUCCUGUGCAGCCUCUGGAUUCACCUUCAGUGAUUAUUAUAUGUACUGGGUCCGCCAGGCUCCAGGGAAAGGUCUGGAAUGGUUCGCAUACAUUAGUGGUAUUAGUAGCUACAUUGACUAUGCUGAUGCCGUGAAAGGCCGAUUCACCAUCUCCAGAGACAAUGCCAAGAACACCCUGUACCUGGAAAUGAGCAGUCUGAGGCCCGAGGACACAGCCAUGUAUUACUGCACCAGAUGCACAGUGAUGCAAAGUUAUUGUGAGAUCAGACACAAACCUCACUGCAGGAUGCUUAUGACCAGCAGGGGGCGAAGAGAACAACCAGAGAUCUGA